RNAcentral lists this non-coding RNA (30 nucleotides) under Rattus norvegicus (Norway rat). Lineage: Eukaryota; Metazoa; Chordata; Mammalia; Rodentia; Muridae. The record is from RNAcentral.
UGGGAUUAAAGUCUUGACCACUCACCUAGC